Parus major (Great Tit) is the source of this 965-nucleotide long non-coding RNA. RefSeq lists it as uncharacterized. The record is from RefSeq and is a predicted model, not a curated record. NCBI's taxonomy places the organism in Eukaryota, Metazoa, Chordata, Aves, Passeriformes, Paridae. The transcript has 2 exons.
CUGACGGAUUUUGUAAGGAAUUUCUGGUGACUCCCACGUUCGAUGAUCAUCACUAUCUUUACCACUACGCGCGUUUUCUGGAAAGACCACAUGAAAGAAAUGAGGGACAGCUGGGACCCAAGAUAUGUAGGUAUCUGAACAUUUGGCUCCCAUGCAGGAACACGGCCUGCAGAUUACAACACGUAUGACUCACUGAUGGCAAGGAGACUUCCAAUAUUCCAGCAGUAUCUGAUGGAAAGCUGUUUUUGGAAGGAGAGUGCCUUUGAACAUAACAAGCAAAGUUCAUCUCAACUUUUUAUUAACUUUGGCACAGUCACAAGCUUUCUCAUGAGGUAAAGUGGUUUUAUUUAUCAACCCAAACCAGAUGAACAGUUUCCUUGAUUCUUCUUUCUGGCAACUGUGAGAAACACCGCGCUAUCUCAGGCUACAACGAACGCAGGUGAAGAGCAUUUGGAGCUCUCAAACACCACCCACCCCAACAAGCUCACUCAGAAACUCAAACAUCUUUGUAUACCCAGCACAGUUACUUUAUGCCUUUCUGUCUCCCCCUCAGAUUAAGACUUGAUAAUAAAUGUGAAGAGCCAAACCCUAUUGGAACACAAAACACGAGGAGGAUGAAAAUCAGCUAAGUGACACAGAGGUUAGAAGAAAAUUGCUGAUAAUGAAAGGAUAUUUAUUAUCAAGAAACCUUGCUGCAAGGGAGAAAAACUAACAGCUGCACCCAGGAGAAAGGGAAAUUUUAACCAAUUAGCUAUAUCACAUUAAAGCAAGUUUAUUUUAAUUUGGUCUAAUUAAUAGCUCUGUUUUACAAGGUCCUGCAAACCUUAGUAGUUAUUUAAAUAAGGAGCAAGACAAAGCAGAUAUUAGCACUUCAUUGUCAGUGACAGGCAUACAUUCAGUGCAUUUUACAUUGAAAUAGUUAGAGCUAAACUGUAUCACUGAGCUUAGAAAAUGUACCUUUUUUU